RNAcentral lists this ribosomal RNA (162 nucleotides) under Stereum rugosum. RNAcentral's name for it is "partial small subunit ribosomal RNA". It matches the Rfam family "Eukaryotic small subunit ribosomal RNA", at positions 1640 to 1799 of the family's 1831-position model. Lineage: Eukaryota; Fungi; Basidiomycota; Agaricomycetes; Russulales; Stereaceae. The record is from RNAcentral.
GUUGAUUACGUCCCUGCCCUUUGUACACACCGCCCGUCGCUACUACCGAUUGAAUGGCUUAGUGAGACCUCCGGAUUGGCUUUGGGGAGUCGGCAACGACACCCCGUUGCUGAGAAGUUGGUCAAACUUGGUCAUUUAGAGGAAGUAAAAGUCGUAACAAGG